This 231-nucleotide ribosomal RNA is filed under the name Triticum aestivum (bread wheat). RNAcentral describes it as "partial small subunit ribosomal RNA". The record is from RNAcentral. Lineage: Eukaryota; Viridiplantae; Streptophyta; Magnoliopsida; Poales; Poaceae.
AUGUCGCCAAGAAAGACGAUCCUCGUCGCGUUCUUGCUCCUGGUGGCUAUGUCGACCACCGUGCUGACUUCCGUCGACGCCGCAAGGAGGCUGGGGCUUGAGCCGGAGGAGCAGUACAGCGCGACCGUCCCCGCGACGUCGGCGAGGCUUCACGAGAGGGCGAGGUCGCUGAUCACGACGUGGAUGGCGCAGCUCACGGCAGGGCCGAGCCCUAGAGGCCCUGGGCACUAA